This 3473-nucleotide long non-coding RNA is filed under the name Homo sapiens (human). Its description in RNAcentral is "HSALNT0039197". Lineage: Eukaryota; Metazoa; Chordata; Mammalia; Primates; Hominidae. The record is from RNAcentral.
UCUGGACGGCUCCAAGUCUAUUGGACUGAACCAUUGGAAGGAUUAGUUGUCACUGAUCCCAAAUAAAAUCUCCUGGCAGAGAAAAUGGACAGUCGUUCCAUACCAUAUGUCUUCUCAGCUUCAAAAUCAACAACAACAACAACAACAAAAAACCCCAAAACUUCCAUCAUCUGCAGAAGUCAAAUAAAACUUUCAAACUUGACUCUUAUUGGCCCCAAAUAGAGCAUAUAAUCAUUCUUGAUCAAUUGCAAUUAUCCAAAGCAUGGAAUAUAUUGAUUGACUUAUGCCAAUUAAGCCCUAUCUCUGAAGAUUGAAGAACAAUCUGCCUACUCUAACUGGGCUUGAGAGAAAAAGAUGUUGUCACCUUGUUUUGCCAGGUUACAAAAGUAACAGAUCCUCCUUAUAAUCAUAUAAUUAUUUCUUUUCUUUGAUGUAUUAUUUGACAUUGAUAAAGUAUUAAUUUUGGGAUACACACUUUCAAAGAAAAAUAUAUUGAAAGAUUAACUCAAAGAAAAUAUACCAGCUAGAAUACAACAAUGCUACAGAUGGUUAACAUUCAUGCUUCCUCUUCUGUGACAUGAAGUUGCCCCCUGGGAAGAAGAUUCUCAGUCACAAGAUUAAUUUUCCAUCUCUCCCCUUGCAUACAGGUUUGACCCUGUAACUAGGUCUCAUCAAAGAAAUAGCUCAAGUUAUGUAUAUAGUAUAACCUUGAAAUUGACCCAAUAGUCCCAUAGACAGUUUUUUUGGAUAAACAUAGAAAUUGACCCUUCUGGUCUUGAAGCUUGAAACUUACAUUUGUUUUACCUUAGUUUCUUCCUCAGGAAAACGACCUUGUGGCUUCUCAAUAGAAAAGUAUAAAAUAACUGAAACUGACCAGAUCACCACAUGCCAGAUCCCUCAUUCAUCAUGAUUGCUUCUUUACCCCUUCCUAGUUCCUUUUUUCUUACACAUUGUUACAAUUAUUCUCUGCUAUAUAAACUCUUAAUUUUAGUUGGUCAGGGAGAUGGAUUUGAGACUUAUCACCUAUCUCCUUGGCUGCAGCAUGCUAUUAAAGUUUUCCUCCUUGGCAAUAAUCGUUGUCUCAGUAAUCAGCUUUCUGUGCAGCAAGCAGCAGAACCUAGACCAAAUCCCUACUGUUUCAGUAACAAUCUUGGGGUUUUAAAAAAGAGCAGAUGCUCUCUCUACACUCUCUUUUUUUUUUUAUCUUCCAUCUGCAUGUGGAGAUCUCUGAGACACUAAAAUAUUCCAGAGCCAUGAAAUAGAGGUAACUGGAGUCCCUGAAUUACCAUAUGGAGGUAAGUCACCCCCCCACUCAGAAACACCUGCAAUGAACUGUUGCAUAAAGGAGAAAUAAACUUCUAAAAUUUGGGGGUUUAAUUAUUGAGUACCUGCUGGUACUUUAAUUAAUACAAAAUCAAAUAAAAAUGGAAUAAUUUCUAUACCAGUUAUUUCUAAGUAUCACUGUUCAUUCUACUAUUAACACAUUACUAAAAGAUGAGCAGAUAGACAUGAUUAGUUUUUAUAAUAUUAAUUUUUUGAGAUGGUAAUGAAUCUGUUUUUUAAAACUAAUUCCCUGGAAAACAAAAAUAUAACUGUUAUUUUACCAUACGGUCCAUUAUAAAUAGAAAUUAUAAUUUAAAAUAAUUAUCCUACCUACACACUAGCAACUUAAAAUUGUCUUAUCUCCCUUUAAAGAAAUUUCCAGAUGGAUGACAGAGUCCUCGAAGUGAACAAGAUUUGUAUAUGUGCAGGGAAUUGUGAAUGGUUAUGAUUCAGACUAUCUCAAGUCAAAAAUAUGAAAGGAUAGUUUUGAUCAAUGAAACAGGAAAGUUGGCAGGGGUUAAGUCAUGAAGGAUGUUAAAGGCCAACUUAAGAAAUUUAGAUAUACACUGAAGAGAGUAGAGACACAAAGAUUUUAGGCAAAGAAAUCAGGGUUAUGUUUUAGAAAGUUUACUAUGCACUUCCAGUCAAAAUAACUAAGUAAGACUUGUCUUUCUGAAACCAAAUCAAAACAGAAAGAACAAGAAACAGUAAAUGUCAUCUAUAAAAACAGAAAAAUUGCCCAACUGCAAACCUUAAUCUAUGAAAUUCUGCCAGUUGUAGUGAACAUAGGCUAAGUAAGGAAGUUGAGAACAAACCUGUGCUAAAGAGGGACUGACCACAAAGAUUUCCAAAAGGUAGUGUUCUUACUAGAAUUUCUUUGUUAAGAUCAACUUGUUCUAGGUGAGUGGACAAAUUUCCAAAGCGUCCUGAACUCCUAUUGAGGCUGCAGAGUACCACGGAAGGACUGGCUGAAUAAAGAAAUAGAGGGACACUAUAUUUUUGUAAAAAUACAAUUUUAGGAUGAAGGAUGGCAAUCACUUCUUCAGUUGAAUUCCUUAUUUUAGCUAAAAAGAAGUAAACAUAAAAUGGCCUCCAAAGGAUCUGUGACAUAAAAGGCAUCAUUUCUACUCAAGUGAUUUCCUGCUGGCCCACAGAAGACCAAAGCUCACAGAAUUGACUCUUGGUCUCAAGGGUUCAGAAACGAUGGAACAUCUAUUAGUCUAUGAACUCAGUUUAUUCCCUUGGCCUCUCUCCUUCACUGUCUUCAAAUGAGUGAGACAUAAAAGACAUUCCCAAAUGCAUAAUAAACAGAAAUGUAUCAGUAUGGGAGCCAUGAAACAAUAGUGCAAAGAAGGUGGAUGAGCAGAUAGACCACCAGAAAUGAACCAGAAAAACAUUAUAUAAUAAAGUCAAAGCACAAUGUGUACCACAUUGCUUUACAAAAUCUGGCUGUAAGCAAAAGAAUUGUUUCAAAACAGACAAAAAUCCCGGUUAGGGGACAGUUUAAAGAAUCCAGAUCUAUCACCAAUCAGGAUGUCAGCAGUAAAGACGGAUAGAACAACACAGGCCACUGUUGCCUUUGUUUUUCAAGUAUUUGUGUGCACAGGACUUGAACUCUUAUUUGCCAUACACUAAGGCUCAGUUUUCUGAAGGGUAAAAUAAGAGUAAAGAAACUUAGUCCUUUAUUUGGGUGGCUAAAGUAAAAUGUAAUUAUUACUAGGCAGUUAAAUGUAUAAACCAGGCUGGGCAUGGUGACUCAUGUCUGUAAUCCCAGCAGUUUGGGAGGCCGAGGUGGGUGGAUCACUUGAGGUCAGGAGUUCAAGACCAGCCUGGCCAACAUGGCAAAACCCCGUCUAUACUAAAAAUACAAGAAUUACCUGGGCGUGGUGGCACACACAUGUAAUCCCAGCUACUCAGGAGGCUGAGGCAGGAGAAUUGUUCCAACCCAGGAGGCAGAGGUUGCAGUGAGCCAAGAUCACGCCACUGCACUCCAGUCUGGGUGACAGAGUGAGACUCCAUUUAAAAAAAAAAAGUAUAAACCAAGAAAAUGUCGGAUUUUUGUAAAUAUAUCCAAUUCUGUUAUAUGAUUGUCUUACUUAGGACAGGAAGAAUUAAAAGAUAACCAUGGUUUAUCCCUAUGCUGAUAUGGU